RNAcentral lists this ribosomal RNA (497 nucleotides) under uncultured bacterium. Its description in RNAcentral is "partial 16S ribosomal RNA". It matches the Rfam family "Bacterial small subunit ribosomal RNA", at positions 28 to 507 of the family's 1533-position model. The record is from RNAcentral.
GAUGAACGCUGGCGGCGUGCCUAAUACAUGCCAGUCGAGCGAACAGACGCGGAGCUUGCUCCUCUGACGUUAGCGGCGGACGGGUGAGUAACACGUGGAUAACCUCCCUAUAAGACUGGGAUAACUUCGGGAAACCGGAGCUAAUACCGGAUAAUAUAUUGAACCGCAUGGUUCAAUAGUGAAAGACGGUUUUGCUGUCACUUAUCGAUGGAUCCGCGCCGCAUUAGCUAGUUGGUAAGGUAACGGCUUACCAAGGCAACGAUGCGUAGCCGACCUGAGAGGGUGAUCGGCCACACUGGAACUUAGCCACGGUCCAGACUCCUACGGGAGGCAGCAGUAGGGAAUCUUCCGCAAUGGGCGAAAGCCUGACGGAGCAACGCCGCGUGAGUGAUGAAGGUCUUCGGAUCGUAAAACUCUGUUAUUAGGUAAGAACAAAUGUGUAAGGAACUAUGCACGUCUUGACGGUACCUAAUCAGAAAGCCACGGCUAACUACGUG